UUGUGUUGUGUAGAGCGUAGAGUUAGCUCAAUUCUGGACUCGGUGGAUUCCGGUUGAUCCAGCAGGUCGCUCUACACCAGUGGGAGCCCUUCGCUGCCAGGGUUUAGUUUUGAGGUGGGUUUACAUCGGUUUUGACUCCUAAGUUCUAAUUGUCGACAUGUAUAAAUUUCGAUUUUUGAUAUAGUCUUUUCUAGCUGGAAUUCAUGAAUUAUAUUAUAGAUGACAAAUUUGAAUUUGGAGCAUGUGGUAAUAAAUUGAGUAGUUUAUACAUGUUGGACUUGGAAUUUGAAUUAGGAGAAAACCUGCGAUUUGGACCUGUCACUUGUUUAAACUGCCUGAUUUAGCUCUAGGAGCCGUUAUAAAAUUGUACUGUCGUCGUAUCCUCGAGACGAGUGCUUCAGGUGGUUUAGCAUACAAUUACGCUCGUGCUGGUACGCCGAGUGGAUUUUUGCAGGGUCUUUUGAGCUGUUCCGAACUGUUGGGUGCCGUCAGAGUUGACGGUGGACCCGUAUCGCCUUUUUGGCGUCAGAUUGUGCCGAGGGCACGUGAACUGUUGGUUAUUAGACUAGUUAGAGUCGGUUACUUGACUUUGGCUUUUCAGAGCCUGAUUGAGCUCGACAGAGAUACGCUGCAUACUCGGUUGGGUAGCGCCCACGAGUGCCACUCCGGAGACGGGCUUUGUGCUUUCGCGUUGGUGUCGCUCAUGCCGGUUGGACUUGCUCUCCACGAACCAGUUAGUGUGGAGGUAGCUGGAUAGUCGUAACUGGGCAGGGACGGGUGUGUUCACAGUCCCAGGGACGGGUAGGUUUACAGUCCCGAUUGGAUUGUGUGAGAUUUGACAUUUCCUACAGUUGGUUAAUGUAGAGCAUGAUAGUGUAGUGUUUGAUAGCGGUAGAGUUUACUUCGUGCUUUUCCGACUAUUCU
Molecule: long non-coding RNA, 924 nt
Filed under: Ananas comosus (pineapple)
Lineage: Eukaryota; Viridiplantae; Streptophyta; Magnoliopsida; Poales; Bromeliaceae
Description: long non-coding RNA (ACOM_LNC026332)
Source: RNAcentral